RNAcentral lists this ribosomal RNA (253 nucleotides) under uncultured bacterium. Its description in RNAcentral is "partial 16S ribosomal RNA". It matches the Rfam family "Bacterial small subunit ribosomal RNA", at positions 524 to 776 of the family's 1533-position model. The record is from RNAcentral.
UACGAAGGGGGCUAGCGUUGCUCGGAAUGACUGGGCGUAAAGGGCGCGUAGGCGGUCUGGUUCGUCAGGCGUGAAAUUCCUGGGCUUAACCUGGGGACUGCGCUUGAAACAGCUGGGCUUGAGUGUGGAAGAGGGUCGUGGAAUUCCCAGUGUAGAGGUGAAAUUCGUAGAUAUUGGGAAGAACACCGGUGGCGAAGGCGGCGACCUGGUCCAUUACUGACGCUGAGGCGCGAAAGCGUGGGGAGCAAACAGG